GAGUCUGAAAGAUCUGAGUUCAAAUCUGGCCUCAGAUACUUUUUAGCUUUUGCCCCAGCUGACUCAUCUGUAAAAUGAGCUGGAGAAGGAAAUGACAAACCAUUCUAGCAUUUUUGCUAAGAAAAUACCAAAUGGGACCAUGACAACCCCAAAUGGGGCCAUGGCAACUGAAAUGACUGAACAAUAAACCAUUUGUGCAAUGGUCAGGCUAGUCAAAUGAUCAGCUUACUGUCCCUAUGCACAAUAUUCCUUCUCCUGCCUCAGUAUCUCUACAAAAGCUGUCUGGGCACUCGGAUUUUGGAUGCUGGUUCAGAACAGUUAUCCCACCUCUCUCUCCUGGAGAAUGGGGCACCAAUUAUCAUAUAUGCCAUCCAGAACCACUUGAAUGCUGUUAGACUUGGCAUGGGGCAUGGCUCACAGACUUGUCUGAGGCACAACAAUGUGAAAGUCUACCUUUACUUGCAAGAGUAUCAGGCUUAGAAAUAAAUACUCCAUGGAUUCCCACUUUACGGAUGAGAAAGCUGAGGCUCAUGAUUACAUAACAAGUCAAAGAUGGGAUUAAAACCCUAAUCUCUCUUUGACUGCCUAGUCUAAUUGUCUUUCACCAAACCAAAAUGCCAAAA
Monodelphis domestica (gray short-tailed opossum) is the source of this 623-nucleotide non-coding RNA. NCBI's taxonomy places the organism in Eukaryota, Metazoa, Chordata, Mammalia, Didelphimorphia, Didelphidae. The record is from RefSeq and is a predicted model, not a curated record.